UACGUAGGGGGCAAGCGUUGUCCGGAUUUAUUGGGCGUAAAGAGCGUGUAGGCGGUUUGGUAGGUCCGUUGUGAAAACUCGAGGCUCAACCUCGAGACGCCGGCGGAAACCAUCAGGCUAGAGUCCGGAAGAGGGGAGUGGAAUUCCUGGUGUAGCGGUGAAAUGCGCAGAUAUCAGGAAGAACACCCGUGGCUAAGGCGGCUCUCUAGUACGGUACUGACGCUGAGACGCGAAAGCGUGGGGAGCGAACAGG
RNAcentral lists this ribosomal RNA (253 nucleotides) under uncultured bacterium. RNAcentral's name for it is "partial 16S ribosomal RNA". It matches the Rfam family "Bacterial small subunit ribosomal RNA", at positions 524 to 776 of the family's 1533-position model. The record is from RNAcentral.